CCAGGAGCCCCGCCUGAUUCCCCAGCCAGCUGUGCCAGGGUUAGCCCUGCCUGGCCUUUCCAAAACUGUGCUGCUGAUCAGAAAUGGGACAGAAACCCAUCAGUAUUCCUGGGGGCUCUUCCUCCACUCUUGCCCUUACAGGGGGAAAACAGGUGAGAGAGCCAUGUGCCCAGCAUAUCAUUAAUAAAUACCCCUUAAAAAGACCUUUAAUCAUUUCCCUUUUUUUUUCUCCAAGUGAAGCUCAUUAUAUAAAAGUCAGAAACUACUGAUGAGCCUACAUAUGUGUAUAUAUGUAUAUACUAUGAUUAUGGUAUGAUCAUUUUAUAUAUAUAUGUAUAUAUAUGGUAUGCUUAUAUAAUCAUAUUUUGACUGUCUAGAAAAUAAUGAACACCUCCACAGCAUUAUACUUAUUAUCUGUAUUUAUAUAAAUAUUAAUGAUAUUUACUAUUAUUAUAUUUUUAACCCAGAAAAGCCAUUCCGUAAAUACUUUUUUGUCACUUAAGUUUUGUUGGGAGCAUCUUUCACUGUCAACACAAUAUAUUUCAUUUUACUUGAUUUCACGUAUUUAAUUAUUAAAUUUAAUAAAUUUAAUUUACUGUAUCCCACCAUAUAGAAUAUACUACAUCACCUCAGUAAAUCACCUUCUAGUGGACAUUUCAGGUGGGAUUUUGUUUUGUUAUUUUGUUUACUGUUGCUAUUCUAAGCACUACCUCAAUGCUGGUUUUUCUCACUAGAUUUUCUGUACCUCCUUAUUAUGCCUGAAUGAAGAAACUGAGGUUUCUCGGGUUAAAGUGACUGUGAAUUGCUUGUGGUUAUAAAACCAGUGAGUGGCUAAGUCAAGAUUGAUGCCGGCUCCGUGCCUGGCAGAGUGGCAGGUGCAGGGCAGGGCUCCGGAGCCUUCAAAUCCCACCUCUGCAGCUCACCAAAGUGGGGUUUAGGGCAAGUUACUUAACCUCGAGUUCCUCUGCUGCAACGUGGGUCAACACCUAUUGCAGAGGGUAUGGUGAGGACUAAAUGUGCUAAAGUAGAUCAUGUAUUUGGCCCUGACCCUAGCACAUAAUUUUUUAAAAAAAUUAAUUGUAGGGAAAAGAACGGAGUAACAGGAAAUACUGUUAAGGAGGAGGCAACACCACAUGGGCUUAGGACUUUAUUUCAAAACGUUGCUCUGUGGACACUGGGGAAAUGUAUGUAAUAUUUUUAACCCCCAGUUUCCUCAUCAGGGAAACCCAGAAAAUGUUAUCUCCGUUACUACAUCGUGUGAGGAUUAAAUGAAAUAUAUGAAUGUAUAUAGUACUGUCAGCCUUUUAAAAGAAAAAGGUAAGCAAUUCAGCCAGCAAAAUUGAGUUUAUUCGAGAAUAGCAGAGGAGUUGCAAUUGGAGACAAGCAAAAUGUGGCAAACCACCGGCAAGUCUGGAGAACAAAGGAGAGCGUGCUUUUACAGAGGACAGGAGGAAGUGGGAGGGGUUGUUUCGUGCAGCAGUUCAUUGGAGGAAAGUGAGAGUCUGAAGUGGUGGUAGCUUCUCAUUGGCUGCAGGCGAGGGCGGCUCCUGGCCGGCAGCCAACAGGAAAUCUUCCUCUUUCCUGCUGGAGGACGCAAGCUGCCAUGAGUGGUACCUGCAUGAGAGCCCUUCCUUCGUGGUUUCCUCGCUCCUAUUUUGAGUUAGGUUUCCUUAACACGUUUUUCACAGUAUAAACAUCUGGAGAAGCAGAUGUGCUCAGAAAACCAGUGACUCAUUGCAUGGGGCCGCCCUGUGGCAGAACUCAUGGGAGCUGGGACAAGCAAAAAGAAUCUUAGCAUCCACUCCUCCUCUGCCCUCUUUUCCUCCUAAACCUGGCUAAUUUAAUUCAGGUCACCCAGAAGAAAAAAAUGAAAUAAAAAUCGGAAAAGAUGGGGCUUCCCUGGUGGCGCACCUGCUGGUGGCGCACCUGCCAAUGUAGGGGACACGGGUUCGUGCCCCGGUCCGGGAGGAUCCCACAUGCCGCGGAGCAGCUGGGCCCGUGAGCCAUGGCCGCUGAGCCUGCGCGUCCGGAGCCUGUGCUCCGCAACGGGAGAGGCCACAACAGUGAGAGGCCCGCGUACCGCAAAAAAAAAAAAAAGAAAAAAGAAAAUCGGAAAAGAACAGAUGAGACUCUUAGCUUGGGCACAUAGUUUGUUGGAUAUGAUCAGCCUCUACUCUCAAAUUAUUUGUGUAAGAAACUCCACAUUUCAAAUGAGGAAUCUAUCCUGGAGAAGAAAUAGAUGCUACAGGAAGCCGGUGUUUGUGCACUGGCUCAACUGGCAGAGUUGUUGCAGAGAUUAUUUGUUCUUUUCUUCCUUUAACAUGAAAGCUCUGGAAAUCUUACAGAAGAUGAACUCAUUCACGAAACAGUCCCACCAGACCAGAGAAUAAGUGCAUGCAGGGGUUAUACCGUCCUCAAGACAGGAGCCAGGAGCUGGAAACCUAGGGCCUGAACUCUCCUCCCAUCAGGUCUGGGGACCUCUGACCAGAGCCCCAACCCAAGGACUCCCAGCCAGACUCACUGGGGGUGAGCUGGUGCCUACAUUAGCUUGGUUUCCCAAAGCCACAGGGAUGUCAGUCUCACUGUUGAUCAAUGGUGUCAGUUUCCCUGCAGGCUGCUGGGAUUUGACACUUCCUUCUCUUGCUCUCUGCUUCUGGGGCACACAGCAGGGUGGCCCCAGUCCCCGUCCCCUGAAAAGGCUUUGGUUGCACAUUCUCUUUAAUUUGGCUCACUCUUUCAGGGCACCAUCCCCCCACCCCGCAAUCUUCCUAGCAACGUUUCUGCUCAAUUCUCUGCACAGCUGGAUAAGAAGAAAAUUUGAGAAGUCCCCUAACAAGUUACACCCCCAAUUGUUCCCCAAAUUUGCCCUCAAGCAGUGCCCCAGACCAAACCUUUGCUCCCUCAGGCUGAAUUUUUUUCCUGCGCAAUAUGGUUUCUUUAUAUGUAAGUUGGUGAUAAUUAAGGUCUUGAUACUGAUAUGUGACUCUAAAAGCACAAGUAGCGAAAUCAGUCAGGUCACUUAAAGAGGAGACAUUCUUUUGAACCAAAAGGGCACUGGUUACAAUGAGCACCUUGCAAGCACACCCUCAGCUUCACUGCCAAGGAAAGGACCAGGCUGUGCUUCUGCUGCAGUCAGGAUGACAGAGGGACUUCAUCCUGGAUCUGGAGACUUUAAUGGUUUCUUCACGUCACUCGGUUUCACAGUUUCAGUGACACAAGGUGGCUUUUGCUCAAUGAGCCUUUGAUCAAUUACUCCUCUACCUUUCUAAGUAUGUGGUACCUUCAUCCCUCUAAUCCCAAGGAAGGGAAGAGGAGGCAAUAGAGUUAGCCACGUGGUGGACUUGAGCCACUGGAAACCCCUGGUGUUGGCUGCUGGCAGUGCAUCUGUGAUGGUGUCACAAACAGCAAGAGACCUCAGGAGGCACCAGGGUUUGGGAGGCUGAGAACCAGCACCAUUUCCUUGGUGAGAGAGGCCUGAACUGGGAACCAUGUAAGUAGAAUGCCACCCUGUACACCUAGGAGAGGAAAGCCAUCUUUGUAGGUGCAGUGGUGGUCAGCAUGGAAAAGGUUACACUGGUCUGCAACAGAUGCCUGGGAGGUCAGGGAUGAGCAUAGUUCCUCAAGUGUUUGUUUGCUGACCAUUAACCUCCCCCGCUCCCCAAAAAAGUCAUUGUGCCUCCCAAAAGACACAUUGGACCCUCAGGCAUAUGAGGCCCCAGCAGAACCAAUCCAAGAAGCCACGAGGGCAUAUGUGUCUGUUGGGGAAUCACAGAGAAGGUAUUGAUUCAAUAUGGACUUUGGGGCCAGGUCCUCCCGGGUUCCAACCCCAGAACCACCGCUCACAAGCCCGGACCGUGGGCGAGUCAUUUAUGUUCUCUGAGCUCCUAUUUCCUCAUUUCUUAAAUGGGAACGAUACAUAGCUCAACAACUCUUUCUUGUGUGUGCAACUGUCACACAUAGGAAUUGCUCUGUGAGUAUGAAAAUCCUUCUGUUUUCCUGCUCAUCAACAGCUUUGGCCAAAAAGCUGAAGCUCAUUUCUCUGAAUUUUCUUUAUUUUCUUAAUAUAUGUUCCUUUGUUUGUUAAAGUUACACAUUUCUUGCCAAAAUUAAAAUGUCAUAGACUAAACAAAAAGGGCUAAAUCUGCCUACAGUUCUAUCCCCUUUGAAUAAUCACCAUUGUUGGGUAAACAUUAUUUCAAUGUCCUCUAUGAAUAUGCUAAUAUAUACUUAUUUUUAUAUGUCCUGUUUCAUUCUCCAUUACACUGUGUGAUAUAUGCCAUGUAUAAGUGGGUCCAUUGCCUAAUCUCCGCCAUGUGUAUGGUAGCUUCCAGAUACCCACACCUAAGGCUUCUUCGUGUUCACUGAGGCUUUUAUUCUUUUUCUUUAAUUUUUUAUUUUAUAUUGGAGUAUAGGUGAUUAACAAUGUUGUGUUAGUUUCAGAUGUACAGCAAAGUGAUUCAGUUUUACAUAUACAUGUAUCUAUUCUUUUUCAUAUUCUUUUCCCAUUUAGGUUUUUACAUAAUAUUGAGCAGAGUUCCCUGUGCUAUACAGUAGGUCCUUGUUGGUUAUCCUUUUCAAAUAUAGCAGGGUGUACAUGUCAAUCCCAAAUUCCCUAACUAUCCCUUCCCUCCACCCUUCCCCCACUGGUAACCAUAAAUUCAUUCUCUAAGUCUGUGAGUCCAUUUCUGUUUUGUAAAUACGUUUAUUUGUAUCAUUUCUUUUUAGAUUCCACAUAAAAGCAAUAUCAUACGAUA
Orcinus orca (killer whale) is the source of this 4754-nucleotide long non-coding RNA. RefSeq lists it as uncharacterized. The record is from RefSeq and is a predicted model, not a curated record. Lineage: Eukaryota; Metazoa; Chordata; Mammalia; Artiodactyla; Delphinidae. The transcript is spliced from 2 exons.